Long non-coding RNA from Neopsephotus bourkii (Bourke's parrot), 2344 nucleotides. RefSeq lists it as uncharacterized. The record is from RefSeq and is a predicted model, not a curated record. Lineage: Eukaryota; Metazoa; Chordata; Aves; Psittaciformes; Psittacidae. The transcript is spliced from 3 exons.
AGAGCCUCUGUGAGGCGGGCACCUACCUCUGGCCUGGGCUCGGAGCAGAUGCUGGGCAGCAGCUUUUGGAAGCCGUGGUAGUGAGUCCAGGUCUUCAGGUCUCUGAAGGAAGCACCCAUGAACCAGUCCCUGGGAUUAAGGAGGAAGCAGAGGUUUUAAUGAAGCAGACUCCAUUCUUUGGAGGGGUGACGGGAGCUUUUCUCUGAGAUCAAGCACUAGAGAAGACACAAAAAGUGUACUUCAUAGUGCCUGAGGCCACAAAGGUGCAUAUCACUGCACUGUGAACAACAGAUCAUCACAAGGUCAAAGAAGGAAGGAAGCAGAUUUCCCACAAAAUGCUCUUAUGGCUUUGACACUGAGCACAGAAUGCAUCAAGAAAUGCUGACAUGUUUGGAAAACUAAAAUGGAUUAGGAAACCAUGACAUAUUAGAAAGGCAAACCUUUGGGCUCAGGUCACCUAGAGGAUAUUGUGCUUGUGGGGAAAGUCUGUGAGUGAAGUGCCUGUCCCUCCUGUUCGAGGAAGCCAGGUGCUUUGAAUGUGAUCACCACCUUAACUGUGAAAGACUGCAAACUGUAGGUUUCUCUUUAAAAGUGACUAUGAAGUGUUUGGUCUUGAAAUAUCUCUUGCCAGGUGACAGCAGAUUUUCCUUCCAAAAUGCCUUACCUUAAAUUCGUCAAGGAGCAAGGAUUGGCAAUACUGUGGGUACUCAAGAGUCAGUGGGAUAGGGUUGAUGCUGAGUGUUUGGGGCAAGAGCAUCCUGUCUGAGAGAUGAGCACGCCGUGGGUGCACAAUUAUUUAUGAGUAGUUUCCCUUACUGCUGAGCAGGAUAUAUUUAAUCUCACCGUGCAGCCCCUGCGUUCACCUUUUCACAGGAUCUUGAGUUGCUCCAGGCUCUUCCUGUCUGAUCCCAUUCAAUGCUGGUAUGGGGGUUUCAGGAGUAUAGACACGGAGGAAAUUACUGUCUGUAUUUUGUUAAAGUAUGUGUCCUUUAAGACCUCCUGCUCUUUCCAGGUUCCCAAACAGCAGCUAUCACUGUGAAAUCUGCUAUGCCCCUUUGACCAAAAAUUUUGUUUGUUUGUUUACAGUAUAACCUUCAGACUAGAUGAACACAGAGUGCUUGAUCUGGACUUAGUCUGAGAAUGAGCGGAGGCUGUGGCACCCUGUGGAGAUACCACAGACUGCGCACAUUCAAGGCCCACCAAUGUGGUGGGGUAAUGAAUGCAACUCUGCUUGGCUAAGUGAGUGGUGUGACACCUUUUCUCCUCCUGAUAGCACAACAGCUGUGAUUUUCGGAGGCAUCUGAACCAGUUGGCAUCUGGGGAGCAAGAUUUUCUCAAUGGAAGGUUUUGUUCUGCUCUGAUUUUCCUCUGCUGCUCUUACAUACCAUGGACUUUGUGAGCUAGUCACAACAGCCCCUCCUCCAUCCCAUCUUUUACAUUCAGUUUUUAGAGUUUGGAAGGCUUUUAAUGUGUUGAUUUUGUGUCCAAAUUGGAUACAUUGUAAAAGUUUUUUUUAAAUAUUUCUGCUUUUCAUAGAAAACUUUUGAUGGGGAUAGUUGGAAAUAAAUGUAAACAAAUGCUGAACAACAUGCUGCAUCUGCAGGCAUAAAUCCGCUCCACAGACCUGCAAAUUGAAGUCUCAAAGCUCCUGUUCUGUUGAAAGGAGGAACACGGGCUUAACAAGGGGUAAGAUGUUAAUAAAAUCUUUGUUCACUGUUACAAUAAGGAAUAGCUAAACGUGGUUUGGGGUUUCUGCCAAGUUAACCCUGACCUAUGCCCAUUCUCACAAGUACUGCUAAGAAAACCCUUAACCCUUAUUAAAGAUAAAGAAUGAAAAACAGUUAAUACUUUUAAUUUUGAAUGCUGUAUUUAAAGCAGAAGUUUUUAUUUUAAAAACAUUCCUUAUUCCCUUUGCCUGUUGCUAGACCAGGGGCUUUAAAGAAAAGACACAUUUUAUGUGGCAUUAACUUUGUGAGUAAAACCCAAUUGUCUUAGAUGGUUUGAAACUAGCCCUGCCCUUAAUAUUAUUGGAGUCCUAUUUUUGUUAAGAUGAAAGUGCAGAUGUUCUGAGUCCCCCUAAACAAUGCUUAACCCAGCUUAUUUGACUGUUUCCUUCCCUGCAGUCUGUUAGACUCUGCCCAUCUAUGGUCUCUUCCUUGUUGUUGGUAGCUACUUGGGGCAGGAACAAUGUGCAUGGAAGAUUUAGAUCCAUGACUGAGCAGAAUUGCUGUGGUAAUUGGAAUAAUAACAACAAAAAUAAUAACAACAUGGAAAAGUAAGACAACAUUCAGUCAACAUUUCAACUUUUUAUUUCUUCAAUGAAUAAAGGCAAAAGAGAGACAGC